RNAcentral lists this ribosomal RNA (1395 nucleotides) under metagenome. Its description in RNAcentral is "SSU rRNA". It matches the Rfam family "Eukaryotic small subunit ribosomal RNA", at positions 371 to 1801 of the family's 1831-position model. The record is from RNAcentral.
GGGGGUUCGACUCCGGAGAAGGGGCCUGAGAAAUGGCCACUACGUCUAAGGAUGGCAGCAGGCGCGCAAAUUACCCACUCUCAGAACGAGGAGGUAGUGACGAGAAAUAACAAGACCGUUCUCUUCAGAGGCCGGUCAUUGGAAUGGGUACAAUUUAAACCCUUUAACGAGUAUCUAUGAGAGGGCAAGUCUGGUGCCAGCAGCCGCGGUAAUUCCAGCUCUCAAAAUGCAUAGAAUCAUUGCUGCGGUUAAAAAGCUCGUAGUUGGAUCUGUGCUGGCGGGUCGGUCCACCUUCGGGUGCGCACUGAUUUCGCCGGCUUUCCUGCUGUAUUUGGCCCUGUGCCUUUCAACGGGUGCAGUGUCCAGUGCAGCAAGUUUACCUUGAACAAAUCAGAGUGCUUCAAACAGGCGUUUCGCUUGAAUGUUCGUGCAUGGAAUAAUAGAAGAGGAUUUCGGUUCUAUUUUAUUGGUUUUAUAGACUGAGAUAAUGGUUAACAGAGACUAACGGGGGCAUUAGUAUUGCUACGUGAGAGGUGAAAUUCUUGGACCGUAGCUAGACUGACUACAGCGAAAGCAUUUGCCAAGAAAGUCUUCAUUAAUCAAGAACGAAAGUCAGAGGUUCGAAGGCGAUCAGAUACCGCCCUAGUUCUGACCGUAAACGAUGCCAACUAGUGAUCCGCCGGUGGAACAUUCGCCCUGGUGGGGAACUUCCCGGAAACGAAAGUCUUCCGGUUCCGGGGGAAGUAUGGUUGCAAAGCUGAAACUUAAAGGAAUUGACGGAAGGGCACCACCAGGAGUGGAGCCUGCGGCUUAAUUUGACCCAACACGGGAAAACUCACCCGGCCCGGACACCGUAAGGAUUGACAGAUUGAUAGCUCUUUCAUGAUUCGGUGGAUGGUGGUGCAUGGCCGUUCUUAGUUCGUGGAGCGAUUUGUCUGGUUUAUUCCGAUAACGAGCGAGACUCUGGCCUACUAAAUAGUUUACACAUUGCUUCUGUGUGCAUAACUUCUUAGAGGGAUUUUCGGUGUUCAGCCGCAAGAAAUUGAGCAAUAACAGGUCUGUAUGCCCUUAGAUGUCCGGGGCUGCACGCGCGCUACACUGGCAAAAUCAGCGUGCUUGUCCUUCCCCGAAAGGGGUUGGUAAACUCGUGAAAAUUUGCCGUGAUUGGGAUCGGAAAUUGCAAUUAUUUUCCGUGAACGAGGAAUUCCAAGUAAGUGCGAGUCAUCAACUCGCGUUGAUUACGUCCCUGCCCUUUGUACACACCGCCCGUCGCUGCCCGGGACUGAGCCGUUUCGAGAAACUUGGAGACCGCUGAUCUGGUAACUUCGAUUGCCAUUUUGGUGGGAACCAAUUUAAUCGCAGUGGCUUGAACCGGGCAAAAGUCGUAACAAGGUA